Molecule: ribosomal RNA, 465 nt
Filed under: uncultured Klebsiella sp.
Lineage: Bacteria; Pseudomonadati; Pseudomonadota; Gammaproteobacteria; Enterobacterales; Enterobacteriaceae
Description: bacterial SSU rRNA
Rfam family: Bacterial small subunit ribosomal RNA
Source: RNAcentral
CCUACGGGUGGCUGCAGUGGGGAAUAUUGCACAAUGGGCGCAAGCCUGAUGCAGCCAUGCCGCGUGUGUGAAGAAGGCCUUCGGGUUGUAAAGCACUUUCAGCGGGGAGGAAGGCGGUGAGGUUAAUAACCUCAUCGAUCGACGUUACCCGCAGAAGAAGCACCGGCUAACUCCGUGCCAGCAGCCGCGGUAAUACGAAGGGUGCAAGCGUUAAUCGGAAUUACUGGGCGUAAAGCGCACGCAGGCGGUCUGUCAAGUCGGAUGUGAAAUCCCCGGGCUCAACCUGGGAACUGCAUUCGAAACUGGCAGGCUAGAGUCUUGUAGAGGGGGGUAGAAUUCCAGGUGUAGCGGUGAAAUGCGUAGAGAUCUGGAGGAAUACCGGUGGCGAAGGCGGCCCCCUGGACAAAGACUGACGCUCAGGUGCGAAAGCGUGGGGAGCAAACAGGAUUAGAUACCCGUGUAGUC